This 386-nucleotide ribosomal RNA is filed under the name uncultured eukaryote. RNAcentral describes it as "partial 18S ribosomal RNA". It matches the Rfam family "Eukaryotic small subunit ribosomal RNA", at positions 592 to 976 of the family's 1831-position model. The record is from RNAcentral.
CAAUAGCGUAUAUUAAAGUUGUUGCAGUUAAAAAGCUCGUAGUUGGAUUUCUGGUUUCGAUACUUGGUCCUUUAGUUAAUUCUAUUGUGUACUUUAGUGUUGAUCCAUUUUUGUGAGAUGUUUAUCUGUCAUUAAGUUGAUGGGUUUACGGACUUGCAUCGUUUACUGUGAAAAAAUUAGAGUGUUUAAAGCAGGCGUUUGCCUUGAAUACAUUAGCAUGGAAUAAUAAGAUAUGACUUUGGUGGUCUAUUUUGUUGGUUUGCACACCAGAGUAAUGAUUAAUAGGGACAGUUGGGGGUAUUCAUAUUUCAGCGUCAGAGGUGAAAUUCUUAGAUCGCUGAAAGAUGAGCUUAGGCGAAAGCAUUUACCAAGGAUGUUUUCAUUAA